UAUACGGUAGAAAUUCCGUAGCCUCUAUCAAUUUAAACACAGGGACACUUUUGAAGGGUUCAGCCGGGCGAUGGUUGCCCCAGUCGUAAGGGACUGCAAAUGGGCGGGAAGUGAAUUUGGAAGAAGGCGAGAAAAGCUGUGUGAAUAGAAGAUAGAGCCCGUACCGCAAACCGACACAGGUAGAUAGGAAGAAGAUUCUAAGGCCAACGGGAGAAGGGUUGUUAAGGAACUCGGCAAGUUGACCCCGUAACUUAGGGAGAAGGGGUGCUCUUUAAGGAGAGCCGCAGAGAAUAGGCCCAAGCGACUGUUUAGCAAAAACACAGCUCUAUGCUAAAUCGAAAGAUGACGUAUAUGGGGUGACACCUGCCCGGUGCCGGAAGGUUAAGAGGAGGAGUGAGAGCUCUGAAUUGAAGCCCCGGUAAACGGCGGCCGUAACGAUAACGGUCCUAAGGUAGCGAAAUUCCUUGUCAGGUAAGUUCUGACCCGCACGAAUGGUGUAACGAUUUGGGCACUGUCUCAACAACCUGCCCGGCGAAAUUGUAGUACCGGUGAAGAUGCCGGUUACCCGCGACUAGACGGAAAGACCCCAUGGAGCUUUACUGCAGCUUAAUAUUGAAUUUCGGUAUUUCAUGUACAGGAUAGGUGGGAGACAGGGAACCAUAGGCGUCAGCUUAUGGGGAGUCGACCUUGGGAUACCACUCUUGAGGUGCUGGAAUUCUAACCUGUGGCUCUGAAUCGAGUCAGGGGACAUUGUUAGGCGGGCAGUUUGACUGGGGCGGUCGCCUCCAAAAAGGUAACGGAGGCGCUCAAAGGUUCGCUCAGCAUGGAUGGAAACCAUGCUUUUGAGUGUAAACGCAAAAGCGAGCCUAACUGCGAGACUGACGGGUCGAGCAGUAACGAAAGUUGGAGUUAGUGAUCCGGCGGUAUGUGAGUGGAAAUGCCGUCGCUCAACGGAUAAAAGCUACCCUGGGGAUAACAGGCUGAUCUCCCCCAAGAGUCCACAUCGACGGGGAGGUUUGGCACCUCGAUGUCGGCUCAUCGCAUCCUGGGGCUGAAUUCGGUCCCAAGGGUUUUGCUGUUCGCCAAUUAAAGCGGUACGCGAGCUGGGUUCAGAACGUCGUGAGACAGUUCGGUCCCUAUCUGUCGUGGGCGUAGGAUACUUGAAAGGAGCUGUCCCUAGUACGAGAGGACCGGGAUGGACGCACCGCUGGUGCACCAGUUGUCAUGCCAAUGGCACAGCUGGGCAGCUAUGUGCGGAACGGAUAAACGCUGAAGGCAUCUAAGCGUGAAGCCGACCUUAAGAUAAGAUAUCCCUUCGUAAGAGUAAGACCUCUCAUAGACUAUGAGUUUGAUAGGCCUAAGGUGUAAGCACAGUGAUGUGUUCAGCCUGCAGGUACUAAUCGGUCGAGGGCUUUUCAA
RNAcentral lists this ribosomal RNA (1419 nucleotides) under metagenome. RNAcentral describes it as "bacterial LSU rRNA". It matches the Rfam family "Bacterial large subunit ribosomal RNA", at positions 1422 to 2925 of the family's 2925-position model. The record is from RNAcentral.